This 1059-nucleotide ribosomal RNA is filed under the name Escherichia coli. RNAcentral describes it as "partial 23S ribosomal RNA". It matches the Rfam family "Bacterial large subunit ribosomal RNA", at positions 90 to 1191 of the family's 2925-position model. Lineage: Bacteria; Pseudomonadati; Pseudomonadota; Gammaproteobacteria; Enterobacterales; Enterobacteriaceae. The record is from RNAcentral.
AUGAACCGUUAUAACCGGCGAUUUCCGAAUGGGGAAACCCAGUGUGUUUCGACACACUAUCAUUAACUGAAUCCAUAGGUUAAUGAGGCGAACCGGGGGAACUGAAACAUCUAAGUACCCCGAGGAAAAGAAAUCAACCGAGAUUCCCCCAGUAGCGGCGAGCGAACGGGGAGGAGCCCAGAGCCUGAAUCAGUGUGUGUGUUAGUGGAAGCGUCUGGAAAGGCGCGCGAUACAGGGUGACAGCCCCGUACACAAAAAUGCACAUACUGUGAGCUCGAUGAGUAGGGCGGGACACGUGGUAUCCUGUCUGAAUAUGGGGGGACCAUCCUCCAAGGCUAAAUACUCCUGACUGACCGAUAGUGAACCAGUACCGUGAGGGAAAGGCGAAAAGAACCCCGGCGAGGGGAGUGAAAAAGAACCUGAAACCGUGUACGUACAAGCAGUGGGAGCCUCUUUUAUGGGGUGACUGCGUACCUUUUGUAUAAUGGGUCAGCGACUUAUAUUCUGUAGCAAGGUUAACCGAAUAGGGGAGCCGAAGGGAAACCGAGUCUUAACUGGGCGUUAAGUUGCAGGGUAUAGACCCGAAACCCGGUGAUCUAGCCAUGGGCAGGUUGAAGGUUGGGUAACACUAACUGGAGGACCGAACCGACUAAUGUUGAAAAAUUAGCGGAUGACUUGUGGCUGGGGGUGAAAGGCCAAUCAAACCGGGAGAUAGCUGGUUCUCCCCGAAAGCUAUUUAGGUAGCGCCUCGUGAAUUCAUCUCCGGGGGUAGAGCACUGUUUCGGCAAGGGGGUCAUCCCGACUUACCAACCCGAUGCAAACUGCGAAUACCGGAGAAUGUUAUCACGGGAGACACACGGCGGGUGCUAACGUCCGUCGUGAAGAGGGAAACAACCCAGACCGCCAGCUAAGGUCCCAAAGUCAUGGUUAAGUGGGAAACGAUGUGGGAAGGCCCAGACAGCCAGGAUGUUGGCUUAGAAGCAGCCAUCAUUUAAAGAAAGCGUAAUAGCUCACUGGUCGAGUCGGCCUGCGCGGAAGAUGUAACGGGGCUAAACCAUG